UACGGAGGGGGCGAGCGUUAUUCGGAAUUAUUGGGCGUAAAGGGCGCGUAGGCGGCCUUGUAAGUCAAAGGUGAAAUCCCUCGGCUCAACCGAGGAACUGCCUUUGAAACUGCAAGGCUUGAGGCCGGGAGGGGGUAGCGGAAUUCCCAAUGUAGCGGUGAAAUGCGUAGAUAUUGGGAGGAACGCCAGUGGCGAAGGCGGCUACCUGGACCGGUUCUGACGCUGAGGCGCGAAAGCGUGGGUAGCAAACAGG
Molecule: ribosomal RNA, 253 nt
Filed under: uncultured bacterium
Lineage: Bacteria
Description: partial 16S ribosomal RNA
Rfam family: Bacterial small subunit ribosomal RNA
Source: RNAcentral